This 253-nucleotide ribosomal RNA is filed under the name uncultured bacterium. RNAcentral describes it as "partial 16S ribosomal RNA". It matches the Rfam family "Bacterial small subunit ribosomal RNA", at positions 524 to 776 of the family's 1533-position model. The record is from RNAcentral.
GACAGAGGGUGCAAACGUUGCUCGGAAUUACUGGGCGUAAAGCGCACGUAGGCGGCUUUGUAAGUUAGAGGUGAAAGCCCGGGGCUCAACUCCGGAAUUGCCUUUAAGACUGCAUCGCUAGAAUUGUGGAGAGGUAAGUGGAAUUCCGAGUGUAGAGGUGAAAUUCGUAGAUAUUCGGAAGAACACCAGUGGCGAAGGCGACUUACUGGACACAUAUUGACGCUGAGGUGCGAAAGCGUGGGGAGCAAACAGG